Molecule: non-coding RNA, 91 nt
Organism: Canis lupus familiaris (dog)
Lineage: Eukaryota; Metazoa; Chordata; Mammalia; Carnivora; Canidae
Source: Rfam
CGGGGGAGGCGGGAUCCUGGGCUGUGUCCCGGCGCCCUGUGCUCCGAAGCCUGCGCUGGUGGAUUCGCGCUCCCGGGCCGCGCAGCCCCCU